RNAcentral lists this transfer-messenger RNA (372 nucleotides) under Streptosporangiaceae. RNAcentral describes it as "Actinomadura_D craniellae Standard tmRNA". It matches the Rfam family "transfer-messenger RNA". From Rfam's summary of the family: Bacterial tmRNA, also known as 10Sa RNA or SsrA, is named for its dual tRNA and mRNA-like properties. The record is from RNAcentral. RNAcentral also lists the same sequence under 1 other name. Lineage: Bacteria; Bacillati; Actinomycetota; Actinomycetes; Streptosporangiales.
GGGGGUGACUGGCUUCGACUUCGGUUGUCGAGCCAGGGGAAGCGGGCCGAGGGCUGCAGUUGCGACCUCGUAAAUCCUGCGACUGCAAACCAACAAGUGCCAACUCUCAGCGCACUGAGUUCGCCCUCGCCGCCUGAGGCGAGUAGCGACUCUGUCAGCCCGGGGAAGUCUCCGACCCGGGACCUGGCAUCGUUAGGAGACUCCACCUGCCGACCCGGUCGCGGGGCCGGUAGGGAAAACUAACAGCGACUGGGCCCGUCGGUGACUUGCCUGCAUGAGCACCGGGGUCGAGAAAACGACUAGCAGGCUGCGCCCGGAGAAGCCCUGAAUCGGUACCGGAGGACGUGGGUUCGAUUCCCACCACCUCCACUC